Phrynosoma platyrhinos (Desert horned lizard) is the source of this 72-nucleotide non-coding RNA. NCBI's taxonomy places the organism in Eukaryota, Metazoa, Chordata, Lepidosauria, Squamata, Phrynosomatidae. The record is from the annotation of a GenBank genome assembly.
GGUGAAGUGGUGUAGUGGUUUUUGCAUUGAACUGUGACUCUGAAGAUCAAGGUUCAAUUUCCUGCUUGGCCA